GUGAAUGCUAGCGGCGUGCUUAAGGUAUGCAAGUCGAACGAUCCUGCUUGCAGGAUAGUGGCGAACGGCUGAGUAAUACGUAGGAAUUUUCCCUUAUCUCAAGGAUAAUCAGUCGAAAGGCUGACUAAUACUUGAUGUGGAGGCAACUCUAAAGAUUUAUCGGAUAAGGAUAAGCCUGCGGCCUAUCAGGUAGUUGGUUGGGUAAUGGCCUACCAAGCCUAUGACGGGUAACUGGUGUUAGCGCAUGACCAGUCAGAAGGGCACUGAGACACGGGCCCUACUCCUACGGGAGGCAGCAAUCGGGAAUCUUGCGCAAUGGGCGAAAGCCUGACGCAGCGACGCCGCGUGAAGGAUGAAUGCCUUCGGGUUGUAAACUUCUGAGAAUAGCACCGGCUAACUACGU
This 403-nucleotide ribosomal RNA is filed under the name uncultured bacterium. RNAcentral describes it as "bacterial SSU rRNA". It matches the Rfam family "Bacterial small subunit ribosomal RNA", at positions 29 to 506 of the family's 1533-position model. The record is from RNAcentral.